This 253-nucleotide ribosomal RNA is filed under the name uncultured bacterium. RNAcentral's name for it is "partial 16S ribosomal RNA". It matches the Rfam family "Bacterial small subunit ribosomal RNA", at positions 524 to 776 of the family's 1533-position model. The record is from RNAcentral.
GACGUAGGGCGCGAGCGUUGUCCGGAUUUAUUGGGCGUAAAGAGCUCGUAGGCGGCUUGUUGCGUCGACUGUGAAAACCCGCGGCUUAACUGCGGGCUUGCAGUUGAUACGGGCAGGCUAGAGUUCGGUAGGGGAGACUGGAAUUCCUGGUGUAGCGGUGAAAUGCGCAGAUAUCAGGAGGAACACCGGUGGCGAAGGCGGCAUCCUGGACCGAUACUGACGCUGAGGAGCGAAAGCCAGGGGAGCAAACGGG